CAGUCAGCCUCCGCUUUCAUCCCAGAGCAGUCCACGGGGGCCUUAAAGGAAUGUAGGCUGGGUGAAGUUGGCCCAGUGACACCUGCGUUCAGAAAAACGUUCUUUCCGCUCCCAACGCCCCCUCUCCACCGCCACCCGACCCCCGAAAUAGUUUUCCCCGAGUGUUGUGGAUAGAACUGUUGAUCUCUUGGAAAAGUUAUUGUAUCCUGCCAUCCUUCCCUCUGGAGACUCCACUUAAUAUAUAUAAGUACUUUCUUUCCUGUAUAUGAUGGAAGAGUAUUAGGGGGGUGAGGGGAGGGACGAAGCUGCCUUCUUUAGGGAAAAAAGAUUGACUUAUAUUUUGAAAGAUGCAAAAGCUGGUGUUUUUGCUACUGAAUUAAUAGCCUAUUAAUAUGCCACAAAUGAUAUAUUGGAACUGUAUUUUCAAACAUUUAACGCCUGCUGUAUGCAAAGCACUAUGCUGACAGCUUAAGGGUACCACAAUGAUAAAUUACACCAAUCUUGUUUUUGGCAUUUUGGGGAGUCUAGUGUCAUAGGUAAAGAAGUACAUAACUAACAAUAAGCUUCAAAAAUUCAAUCAUAAGGCCCGGCACCGUGGCUUCCGCCUGUAAUCCCAGCACUUUGGGGGAUCACUUGAGCCCCGGAGUGUGAGACCCCGUCUCUACCAAAAAAAAAAAGAAAUUAGCUGGGCAUGGUGGUGCCUGCCUGUGGUCCCAACUGUUUGGGAGGCUGAGGCCGGAGGAUCACUUGACCCCAGGAAUCUGAGCCUGCAGUGAGCUAUGAUUGCACCACUGCACUCCAGUCUGGGCGACAGAACCAGACCAUGUCUAAAAAGAAAAAACACUCAGUGAUAAUUUCACAUUACAGUUUGAGAGGUUCCUGUUGACUUGGGGAAACUAGUUUUAGCAGACUUCAUUAAAGGAGUGUACACCUUACUACAGGAUGUAAUUUAAAAUAGAAUGUUUAAAUAAUAAAUUCACUUCUGGGUAUAUACUCAAAGCAGGAAUUCAAACAGGUAUUUGUACACCAAAGUUCGUAACAGCAUUAUUCACAGUAGCCAAAAUGUGGAAACAACCCAAAUGUCCAUUAAAGGAUGAAUAAACAAAAUGUGAUAUACAUACAAUGGAAUAUUCAGCCUUUAUUUUUCCAAUCAGAGUUUCAGGAAAAUCAACCUUUAAAAGGAGUGAAAUUCUGACAUUUGCUGCCACAUGGAUGAAUCUUGAUGAUGAUAUGCUGAGUGAUAUAUAAUCAGUCACGGAAGGACAAAUACUGCAUGAUUCAAUUUAUAUCAGGUAGUGCUUUGCUAAUGACUGACCGGUGUGGAUGUAUAAAAGUCCAGCUCCGUGAUCUCAGACUUCCGGCCUCCAGAACUCAGGCCCUGACAUUGUAUAAGCUUCAGGCCCCACAAAACCUGGAUCUGCCCUGCCAGGAUCAGCAUCUAGAGGAAAACUACUACUUCCACAAUAGCACAACCAAUCUGAUCAUCCCUGCAUCAGUGAGCAUUCUCCAGAGAAACAGAGCCAACAGGAUAUGUGUAUAUAUGUGAAGAAAGACUUAUUUUAAGGAGUUGGCUCAUGCAAUUAUGGAGGUGCAAGUCCAAAAUCUGUAGGGCAGGCAGAUGGGCAGACUGGAGACCCAGAGAAGAGUUGCAGUUCAAGUCCAAAGUCGGUUGGAAGAAUUCCCUCUUGCUGGGUAACACUGGGGAAGCAGGAGUAGAUGGAAAGGGGAGGUGUCAGGCUUUGCUCUACCAAGGACUUCAACUGAUUGGAUGAGGCCCAGUAACAUUAUGGAGGGAAACCUGCUUUGCUCAGAGUUUACUGAUUUAAAUAUUAAUCUCAUCCACAAAAAAAUAAAUAACCUUCACAGAAACAUUUAGAAUAUUUGACCAAAUAUCUAAGUCCCAUGGCUCAGACAACUUAACACAUAAAAUUAUCCAUCACAAUUCCAUUAUCCCAAUACAGGUCGGCAGGGCCUUGGGCAGGUGGUAACCUCAGCUCUGGAGUCUACAGCAAUACUCUCACACUUAACAGAUGUAGUUCUGUGGGUCCAGGUCCCACUUCGCAAGAGAGAAUCUGAUGGGCUAAUUUCGACCAAGUCUCCUUUCCUAGUUCAAUCACGUGUAAGGGUUAGAGAAAGGGUUGGGCUCACAAGGGACUUAGGGCUGCCUCUCUGGACUUGGGAGAGCAGGACUUCUCAAGAGAUAAAUGGUUAGAGAGUAAUAUAAUUUGGAUAUUUGUCCCCUAUAAAUCUCAUGUUGAAAUUUGAUGUUCAAUGUUGAGGGCAGGUCUGGGACCUCCCUCCCUGCUUUUGCUCCCCCUCUCGCCAUAUGGCACAACUGCUCCCUUCACCUUCUGCUAUGAAUGGAAGCUUCCUGAGGCCUUCACCAAAAGCGGAGGCUGGUACCAUGCUUCACGCACAGCCUGCAGAAUCAUGAGCCAAAUAAACUACUUUUCUUUAUAAAUCAUCCAGUUUCAGGUAUUCGCUUAUAGCAACACAAAAUGGACUAAUACAGAGAGGAAAUAUUUUGAGCACAUUGAAGGCCCCAAAAUAUUGAGCUUUUUUUUUUUAACCUAUAUAGUACUUUUCUUGCAUCUCAGUUUGCUUAUCUAUAGAAUGAGGAUUAAUAAGACCUACCAACUUCAGGGGGUCAUUCUGGUGAGAUAAGUGAAAAAAUUUGUAAAGAAGUGUAUAAAUUUACCAUUGUUUUUUAAAACUAAAAUGAUCUCUAACACUAAGUUGAUGAUCUGAUCACAAAGAUGGGGUAGAUGAAAUGAAGAGAAAAGGUUUCUGACAUUUGUAUACUUAGAAAUGUAUCCAGGCUGGGCAUGGUGGUCCAUACCUGUAAUCCCAGCACUUUGAGAGGCCAACGCAGGAGGGUCACUUGAGGCCACGAGUUCAAAACCAGCCUGGCCACAUUGAGAGGUGACAGUGUGUUGGCAGUCCUCACAGC
Molecule: long non-coding RNA, 2950 nt
Filed under: Homo sapiens (human)
Lineage: Eukaryota; Metazoa; Chordata; Mammalia; Primates; Hominidae
Description: HSALNT0012122
Source: RNAcentral